UACGUAGGGCGCAAGCGUUGUCCGGAAUUAUUGGGCGUAAAGAGCUCGUAGGCGGUCUGUUACGUCUGCUGUGAAAACCCGGGGCUUAACCCUUGGCUUGCAGUGGAUACGGGCAGACUAGAGGCAGGUAGGGGAGAAUGGAAUUCCCGGUGUAGCGGUGAAAUGCGCAGAUAUCAGGAGGAACACCAAUGGCGAAGGCAGCACUCUGGGACGUGACUGACGCUGAGACGCGAAAGCGUGGGGAGCAAACAGG
RNAcentral lists this ribosomal RNA (253 nucleotides) under uncultured bacterium. Its description in RNAcentral is "partial 16S ribosomal RNA". It matches the Rfam family "Bacterial small subunit ribosomal RNA", at positions 524 to 776 of the family's 1533-position model. The record is from RNAcentral.